Long non-coding RNA from Drosophila teissieri, 916 nucleotides. RefSeq lists it as uncharacterized. The transcript has 3 exons. The record is from RefSeq and is a predicted model, not a curated record. Lineage: Eukaryota; Metazoa; Arthropoda; Insecta; Diptera; Drosophilidae.
CAUAUUUCAACUUGAAGUUGAUCAUAUUUAUCCAGGUUCCUGCCACAAUAAUUUGCCUUUAGCCAGGGGAAGUCACAAUUUUUUGGGCAAGGCAAAAAGUGGGCCUCGAAAGUGAAGUUUAUAAAAAAGGGUUGGCGAAUCCCAAAAUGCAAUUUAUGCAAAUGAGCCGAGAGGCGCCGUUGCAAAUGCGGCAGCAAUAGAAGAAGUAAAAAGAGGGGUUUUUUUUAUAUUUUUUUCCGCAGCAAAAUCAAAGCCUAAAUAGCAAUCAAAAAGACCAAAAAUUCCUUAAAUUAAACUCACGAACUGGCGGGCGCAACGAUGCGAAAAUGAUACAUGCAUUAAGGCCCAGCCAAGUUGACUUGGCCAAAACGAAGCGAAUUUAGCUCGGCACAUUUAGAAUAUCAUCGCAGUGCAACUACUACGACCACAACAAUAAAUAAUAGACAAAAGGCAGAGAGACAAAACCAAGGAGUGCCGAUUCCGAAGUCGACUUCGACUUCGACGUAGACUGCGACUUUGGCUUGGCAUGUCAUGCUUAAUACAGCCAAUAAAACCGCCAGAAACAACAACAGCAACAAUGGCAAUCGAAUCGCUUUGGAAGCAACCCAAAAACAACAUCCACGGCACAGCAACAACAUCAGCGAUAGCAGCAACAACUAGGAGACUCCACGCUAAGCUGUUUGCAUGCACUUUUUGGGGCCACCAGCGGGUCAGCCAACAGCAGCAGCACCACUAGCCCCACUAGUACCACCGUCCUCUAGCACCACCUCCACCUCCACUUCCACCAUCACCAUCACCGCCAAAGGAACAGCGGCAGCAACACCAGCAACAGCAAGAAAGCUGGCCCAAACAGUGGCAUAGAUCCCAUUUGAUUUGGAAGCGGAGGCGUAAUAAAAUUCUCACUAUGAAAGUUCAA